RNAcentral lists this ribosomal RNA (253 nucleotides) under uncultured bacterium. RNAcentral's name for it is "partial 16S ribosomal RNA". It matches the Rfam family "Bacterial small subunit ribosomal RNA", at positions 524 to 776 of the family's 1533-position model. The record is from RNAcentral.
UACGUAGGGGGCAAGCGUUGUCCGGAUUUAUUGGGCGUAAAGAGCGUGUAGGCGGCUAGGUAGGUCCGUUGUAAAAACUCGAGGCUCAACCUCGAGACGCCGAUGGAAACCAUCUAGCUAGAGUCCGGAAGAUGAGAGUGGAAUUCCUGGUGUAGCGGUGAAAUGCGCAGAUAUCAGGAAGAACACCCGUGGCUAAGGCGGCUCUCUAGUACGGUACUGACGCUGAGACGCGAAAGCGUGGGGAGCAAACAGG